Molecule: ribosomal RNA, 340 nt
Filed under: Morganella morganii
Lineage: Bacteria; Pseudomonadati; Pseudomonadota; Gammaproteobacteria; Enterobacterales; Morganellaceae
Description: partial 23S ribosomal RNA
Rfam family: Bacterial large subunit ribosomal RNA
Source: RNAcentral
UUAAGUGGGAAACGAAGUGGGAAGGCUCAGACAGCCAGGAUGUUGGCUUAGAAGCAGCCAUCAUUUAAAGAAAGCGUAAUAGCUCACUGGUCGAGUCGGCCUGCGCGGAAGAUGUAACGGGGCUAAACCAUGCACCGAAGCUGCGGCAGCGACAUUUAGAUGUUGUUGGGUAGGGGAGCGUUCUGUAAGCCUGUGAAGGUGUGCUGCGAGGCAUGCUGGAGGUAUCAGAAGUGCGAAUGCUGACAUAAGUAACGAUAAUGCGGGUGAAAAACCCGCACGCCGGAAGACCAAGGGUUCCUGUCCAACGUUAAUCGGGGCAGGGUGAGUCGACCCCUAAGGC